This 254-nucleotide ribosomal RNA is filed under the name uncultured bacterium. Its description in RNAcentral is "partial 16S ribosomal RNA". It matches the Rfam family "Bacterial small subunit ribosomal RNA", at positions 524 to 776 of the family's 1533-position model. The record is from RNAcentral.
UACGGGGGGAGCAAGCGUUGUUCGGAUUUACUGGGCGUAAAGGGCGCGUAGGCGGUCAGCACAAGUCAGUUGUGAAAUCUCCGGGCUUAACUCGGAAAGGUCAACUGAUACUGUGCGACUAGAGUGCGGAAGGGGCAACUGGAAUUCUCGGUGUAGCGGUGAAAUGCGUAGAUAUCGAGAGGAACACCUGCGGCGAAGGCGGGUUGCGGGGCCGACACUGACGCUGAUGCGCGAAAGCCAGGGGAGCGAACGGG